CGCAUCUUGCGCUCUCGGGUUAUUCCUGGGAGCAUGCUUGUUUGAGUAACAGAAAAGCUCAACCCCGCUUUCUUAAUUGAAAGUAGACUUCAGGGUUAGGAUCAUGGCAGUCUGUUGAACCCGUUCAACUCUGCCGAAAGUUAAGCGGCUGAACUUUUGUAUCGUGCGCUAGACACUAUUGUUAUAACAUCCUUAGCUGGUCUCAAUAGUUAGUGCGAUUAAUCAAGUAGGCUUUGUUUAUUUUAAAAACUUGCAAGUUUUCGCGAAUUUUGCAGUUAAAUUUUUUUAAGCUUGUUCUCAAAUCAAGUAGGACUACCCGCUGAACUUAA
RNAcentral lists this unclassified non-coding RNA (329 nucleotides) under Agaricostilbales sp. RNAcentral describes it as "partial contains 5.8S ribosomal RNA, internal transcribed spacer 2, and large subunit ribosomal RNA". Lineage: Eukaryota; Fungi; Basidiomycota; Agaricostilbomycetes; Agaricostilbales. The record is from RNAcentral.